GAUGAACGCUGGCGGCGUGCCUAAUACAUGCAAGUCGAGCGAACAGACGAGGAGCUUGCUCCUCUGACGUUAGCGGCGGACGGGUGAGUAACACGUGGAUAACCUACCUAUAAGACUGGGAUAACUUCGGGAAACCGGAGCUAAUACCGGAUAAUAUAUUGAACCGCAUGGUUCAAUAGUGAAAGACGGUUUUGCUGUCAGUUAUAGAUGGAUACGGGCCGCUUUAGCUAGUUGGUAAGGUAACGGCUUACCAAGGCAACGAUGCGUAGCCGACCUGAGGGGGUGAUCGGCGACACUAGAGCUGAGACACGGUCCAGGCUCCUACGGGAGGCAGCAGUAGGGAAUCUUCCGCAGUGGGCGAAAGCUUGACGGAGCAACGCCGCGUGAGUGAUGAAGGUCUUCGGAUCGUAAAACUCUGUUAUUAGGGAAGAACAAAUGUGUAAGUAACUAUGCACGUCUUGACGGUACCUAAUCAGAAAGCCACGGCUAACUACGUG
Molecule: ribosomal RNA, 497 nt
Filed under: uncultured bacterium
Lineage: Bacteria
Description: partial 16S ribosomal RNA
Rfam family: Bacterial small subunit ribosomal RNA
Source: RNAcentral